RNAcentral lists this transfer RNA (73 nucleotides) under Pteropus alecto (black flying fox). It matches the Rfam family "tRNA". From Rfam's summary of the family: Transfer RNA (tRNA) molecules are approximately 80 nucleotides in length. Their secondary structure includes four short double-helical elements and three loops (D, anti-codon, and T loops). Lineage: Eukaryota; Metazoa; Chordata; Mammalia; Chiroptera; Pteropodidae. RNAcentral also lists the same sequence under 1 other name. The record is from Rfam by way of RNAcentral.
GGUUCCAUAGUGUAGCAGUUAGCAUGUCUGCUUUACAUGCAGAAGGUCCUGGGUUCGCGCCCCAGUGGAGCCA